AGUGGCGGACGGGUGAGUAACACGUGGGAAUCUGCCCUUAGAUGGGGGAUAGCAGGCCGAAAGGCCUAUUAAUACCCCAUAUGUAUAUGUCUCGACAGGGACAUAUAUGAAAGGAGUAAUCCGUCUGAGGAUGAGCCCGCGUCCGAUUAGCUAGUUGGUAGGGUAACGGCCUACCAAGGCUCCGAUCGGUAGGUGGUCUGAGAGGAUGAUCACCCACAAUGGGACUGAGACACGGCCCAUACUCCUACGGGAGGCAGCAGUGGGGAAUUUUGUGCAAUGGGGGAAACCCUGACACAGCGACACCGCGUGAGCGAAGAAGCCCUUUGGGGUGUAAAGCUCUGUCAGCUGGAACGAAAAAAAUGACGGUACCAGCAGAGGAAGCAUCGGCUAACUACGUGCCAGCAGCCGCGGUAAGACGUAGGAUGCAAGCGUUGUCCGGAUUUAUUGGGCGUAAAGAGUUCGUAGGUGGUUUGUUAAGUCUGAUGUUAAAGAUCGGGGCCCAACCCCGGGAGUGCAUUGGAUACUGGCAGACUGGAGUGUAGUAGAGGCAAGCGGAAUUCCAGGUGUAGCGGUGAAAUGCGUAGAUAUCUGGAAGAACACCAGUGGCGUAAGCGGCUUGCUGGGCUAUAACUGACACUGAGGAACGAAAGCCAGGGGAGCGAAUGGGAUUAGAUACCCCAGUAGUCCUGGCCGUAAACGAUGGAUACUAGGCGUAGCGGGUAUCGACCCCUGCUGUGCCGCAGCAAACGCGAUAAGUAUCCCGCCUGAGUAGUACGGCCGCAAGGUUGAAACUCAAAGGAAUUGACGGGGGCCCGCACAAGCGGUGGAACAUGUGGUUUAAUUCGAAGCAACGCGAAGAACCUUACCAGGGCUU
RNAcentral lists this ribosomal RNA (874 nucleotides) under uncultured bacterium. RNAcentral's name for it is "bacterial SSU rRNA". It matches the Rfam family "Bacterial small subunit ribosomal RNA", at positions 94 to 982 of the family's 1533-position model. The record is from RNAcentral.